This 189-nucleotide ribosomal RNA is filed under the name uncultured bacterium. RNAcentral's name for it is "partial 16S ribosomal RNA". The record is from RNAcentral.
AUUACCGCGGCUGCUGGCACGGAGUUAGCCGGUGCUUAUUCGUAUAGUACCUUCAGCUACCCUCACGAGGGUAGGUUUAUCCCUAUACAAAAGAAGUUUACAACCCAUAGGGCAGUCGUCCUUCACGCGGGAUGGCUGGUUCAGGCUUGCACCCAUUGACCAAUAUUCCUCACUGCUGCCUCCCGUAGG